RNAcentral lists this ribosomal RNA (404 nucleotides) under Verrucomicrobiota bacterium. RNAcentral's name for it is "Verrucomicrobia bacterium partial 16S ribosomal RNA". It matches the Rfam family "Bacterial small subunit ribosomal RNA", at positions 355 to 776 of the family's 1533-position model. The record is from RNAcentral. Lineage: Bacteria; Pseudomonadati; Verrucomicrobiota.
UGGGGAAUAUUGCACAAUGGGGGAAACCCUGAUGCAGCGACGCCGCGUGAGCGAAGAAGGCUUUCGAGUCGUAAAGCUCUGUCCUAUGAGAAGAUAAUGACGGUAUCAUAGGAGGAAGCCCUGGCUAAAUACGUGCCAGCAGCCGCGGUAAUACGUAUGGGGCGAGCGUUGUCCGGAAUUAUUGGGCGUAAAGGGUACGUAGGCGGUUUGGUAAGCGUGUUGUGAAAUGUAGGAGCUCAACUUCUAGAUUGCAGCGCGAACUGUCAGACUUGAGUGCGCACAACGUAGGCGGAAUUCAUGGUGUAGCGGUGAAAUGCUUAGAUAUCAUGAAGAACUCCGAUUGCGAAGGCAGCUUACGGGAGCGCAACUGACGCUGAAGCUCGAAGGUGCGGGUAUCGAACAGG